RNAcentral lists this ribosomal RNA (253 nucleotides) under uncultured bacterium. RNAcentral describes it as "partial 16S ribosomal RNA". It matches the Rfam family "Bacterial small subunit ribosomal RNA", at positions 524 to 776 of the family's 1533-position model. The record is from RNAcentral.
UACGUAGGGUGCGAGCGUUAAUCGGAAUUACUGGGCGUAAAGCGUGCGCAGGCUGUUUUGUAAGUCAGAUGUGAAAUCCCUGGGCUCAACCUAGGAACUGCGUUUGAAACUACAAGGCUAGAGUGUAGCAGAGGGGGGUAGAAUUCCACGUGUAGCAGUGAAAUGCGUAGAGAUGUGGAGGAACACCGAUGGCGAAGGCAGCCCCCUGGGCUAACACUGACGCUCAUGCACGAAAGCGUGGGGAGCAAACAGG